AUAACCAUGUUAUUGUAUUCAUUAAUUAUUUCUGAUUUUGUCUUGUUUGAUUUACAAAUUAAUAUCAUUUUUUAGUUAAAAAAUAUUCUACACAUAAUCGUAUUAAUCAUCCAUCAUUACAUUUUCACGUGUCAUGAAUUCAUAUUUUUGAAAACUCUACAUAUUAAGAAGGUACAAUGCACGAUCAUAUCCUUGCUAUAAUUAUAUUAAUUCCAUUCACGCGCCUUUUAAAUCAUACAGCCCCAGUUACUUGAGGAGAAUCCUUUUUUUUAGUUAGAAU
This 280-nucleotide long non-coding RNA is filed under the name Vigna radiata. RNAcentral's name for it is "long non-coding RNA (VRAD_LNC007556)". Lineage: Eukaryota; Viridiplantae; Streptophyta; Magnoliopsida; Fabales; Fabaceae. The record is from RNAcentral.